This 4236-nucleotide long non-coding RNA is filed under the name Homo sapiens (human). Its description in RNAcentral is "HSALNT0326508". Lineage: Eukaryota; Metazoa; Chordata; Mammalia; Primates; Hominidae. The record is from RNAcentral.
CUACUCGGGAGGCUGAGUUGGGAAGAACAUCUGAACCCAGGAAAUCGAGGCUGCAGUGAGCCACGAUCACACCAUGCCACGGCACUCCAGCCUGGGCAACAGGAUGAGACCUUGUCUCACACACACACACAAAAAGAAAGGGCUGGAAUCUGAGUAGCUGAGGUGCUUAUGUGACUACAUGCCUACAUCACUGACCCCCAAUAAACACCUUGGACACAAGACUCAGGCUGCUUCAUCGAUACUUUCUUAUUUUAUGUUAUGAUGCAUCAAAGUGAACUCUGAUCCCUUCAAACAGAAUCAUUGCUUUCAGAUAAAGAAACCUCAGAUCAAAUAUAAGCAUCAAAAUCUACAAAGAUUUUAGAGGGUGAAGAAACACGGAAAGAUCUCUGGUGAUGGAGCCAGCAUUGAUGAACCAAGAAAAGUCUUAAACGUGAAGAAGCCUGUGAUAAACAAGGUGACUCACCUCAUCAAAUGGAAUAGGGAUCUUCUGGCAAAGCUGCCUGGGUAAACCGCAACUCACAAGGGAUAGAAUUUCACUAAAUUCUUAAGAGGUUACAGACUCUAUUUCUAUCCUUAAAUACACUCAUUAUUUUAUCCCUGGAUAUACCCAAUUAUAGUUUAAACUUAAAUUGAAUAAAAGAUGAUGGGAAUAAUUCUAUUUUUAUUUCAGGACUGUGCCCAGGGGAAUAACAAGGAAGAAAAAUGUCAGAAGAAUUAGUUUCUCUCUAAUUGAACAAAUGUAUUUAUAUUUCCUUGUUGAUAGGCAUAGAUUCUCAAUGAGAAACUGAAACUUAUGAAGUUACAUUUAAGACUCCAGUUGUGACAAUGAUGACCAAUGCUCUUUGGUAUUACGUUUUCCAAUUCAACACAGGAAAUGAGUUGGAAUUUGUUUUGCAGUUUUUUUUUCAGCCUGUUUUGUGGAGUAUUUUUUCCUGUGAUCUGUAGAAACACAAUGAUAACAUUACGAACUUUGCCAGUCAUUGGCCCAUCAAAAAUGUUUGUAUGCUUGAAUGGGCAAGAAAUUACAUUUGAUGGAGUCCCAUGUGCCUCAUUAACUAAAUUUUUCUUUUCGGUUAUUAUUAAAGGACAGUAGGUGGCCAGGCACGAUGGCUCAUUCCUGUAAUCCCAGCAGUUCAGGAGGCCAAGGUGGGCAGAUCAUGAGGUCAGGAGACCAAGACCAUCCUGGCCAACACGGUGAAAUCCCGUCUCUACUAAAAAUACAAAAAUUAGCCAGGUGUGGUGGUGUGUGCCUGUAAUCCCAGCUACUAGGAGGCUGAGGCAGGAGAAUCUCUCUAACCAGGGAUUCGGAGGUUGCAGUGAGCCGAGAUUGCGCCACUACCCUCCAGCCAGGCAAUAGAGCGAGAGUCUGUCUCCAAAAAAAAAAGACUGUAGGUAUGAGAUCAGACGUGACUUUUAACUUUUAACUUUUAACUUUCAUGUUCUUCAUCUUCCAUUCUUGCCACAAAAAGACUGCCGUUUCCUUCUUCACAUUCAAUGUGUCUCAUGGGUCAGAGAAUCUGUGUGGUUACACUCUUAACUAGUACAGCCACUGUUCUUCGACUACUUAAACGCUCUUAUCCUUCCACUCAGUCAUCCAUUUGACCCCAUUUCCUUUAUAUUCUAUGCAGAAUUACAUGUGCAAUUAGGGUUUGUUUUCAUUAUUACUGUUAUUAUUAUAAUCACUAUUUGCCAAUUCUGUUGAUUACCCUUUCCAUUUGUUUUUCAACAAAACUCUCUCUGUACACCAACAACACUGCCUCAAUCUUUUAAUCUACCAGAAAAAAAAUUCAACUCCAUAAGCAAUUGGAUCAAUAAUAGUAGGAAUUCACAAUUUUCAGUCUCAGUGGUUUCCUUCAACAUUAAACUCCUUUUUAUUUUGAUUGUCCAUUACUUCAUAACUUUGAAAUCCUCUUUCAAUUUCUCUAAUGUAAUUUGACCAAGAUUGUGGCUCGCAAGACUGAACUUUUUUGAAAUAUGGACAUGGGGAGUCCCCACAUUUUGCUAGACUACAUCUUGGAGGGUGCUUGGAAAGCAGAAAUGGUGGGAAAUCGUUUUAUUUUCUGUUUGCAAAAGCCACUUUGCAACUUGUGGUUAUCCUAUUCUAUCACCAAGCUCCUGCCUGUAUUUACAGUGGGCUUUGAAGAACCAGCUGCUGAAAGUGAUAAAUCAGCAGCUGAAAAUGAUGAAUGCGAGACUGAUUGGAACUCAAAGUGAAAUAUAGGUGCUUGUCAACAAUGUUAGAUUGGUAACUUGAGGUGGCAAAGAGUGGUGACUGCUGGCAAAAUGUAUGAAUAUAUGUAUUAUAGUAGCAAUUAUACUUGCUUAUUUCAAUGUUUUUGAAGUCUUCUUAUUUAUAGAACAUUCUGGCUUUUUAUUUUGAGGAGCACUGCUAACAAUAAAUCAGAACCAACAUUUAUUGAGUGUCGAUUAUUAUAUCCCAAGUCCAGUACUAGACUGUGGAGCAUUAGCUAUGAAAUGCCUAGUUGUGAUUUCCAAGCACCACUUAUGGAAAAUUAUGAUCUGCUUUUUAUAUUAGUGCAGUAUCGCUAGAUGUAACAGGUAUUCUGGAUUUUAAAACCUAUUUAUAAUGUUUGUUUCUAAUGUGGUUUAUGCUUACUCAAAUGGAAUAUUUUUCAGCUUGUUCCUUUCCAAGUGGUACUUACAUACCUGUUGUUCCUGGAUCUUUCCAUUUUGAUUUUGAUAUAUUCAAGUUGCCAAUGUUCCCUGGUUACUAGUCCAUGUACUGGUCUGUUCAUUUGUACAUAAACAUUUAUACAAGAUGGAAAAGUUGAAGUAAUUUAAAUUUAGUCCAUUAUUUUAUUCCAAUGUGAAUUGUGUGUCACUACACGAUUUCAACGCAAGGUUAUUCAUUGGUUUACCUUCUGCCUUUUUAUGGCUUCCAGGCAUGUUUAAUAUCUGUGAUUAACUGAAUUUUUCAGGUUAACAUCUGCAUUUAAUCACAAGUUAUUACCCAUUUCCUAGACUGGUCAGUGUAACAUUUCAAUCACUCCUUCCUUCUUUCUCCACCCAUGUAGUAAAAGAUUCAAAGUCAGUUAUACUUUCUCUCUUUCACAGCCAUCGAGCUGCACUUAAAUAAUAUUCAAGAAAGUUAUAUUUCUUUUGAAGUGGUCACAGGAAGCAUAUGCUUAGUGUAUAUAAACAGAAAGAGAGUUGAUGCACUGAUUUGGUUGAUUUACAGAGCUCUUGUAUCUACAUGUAAACAUUUUGCCUCAGAGAGAAAUGAAAGGUUCUGUUGGACUCCAAAAGCCACUAGCUCCUGUGUAACAGCACUGAGAUUCAAAGAGCAAGGCUUCUUUGAAUUUCACAUUCCCCUGUUUUUUUUUUUUUUUUUUUUUUAGUCUAGCUCAACAAACUUCUGAGAGUUCCCUGUUUUAGUUUAAAUACUCCUUGUCUCAUUUUCCAAACUCUUUAAUUUUUCAAAGUCAUUUGAUCAUGGAGAAUAAAACCUUAAGGAUUAGCCAUACUCCCGUCUUUUUCCUACUGAACAGAAUCAUUCAAACCAAUUCUUCCAUUUUCUCUGAGUUCUCCAUGAACCUAUCAUAAAUGACUCCAUUUAAGAAAAAACAAUAAUAUGAAAGCAGAACAGCUAAAUGUGUGUUAAUGUCUCGCCACUAUAUUUUUGGCAAACCUUGACCUAAUUCAGGUCAAAAUUAGCGUUUCUUCCCAAACUGAAUAUUUUGUUGGAGAGGGUGGGAGGGGGUAGGAAUAAGCAGCUAUGCUGGGCUUUUAAUUGAUUGGGAACUAAGAUGUGAGCAAUAUUCUCUGUGUUUUCUUCAAGUAUGGGGGAUACUGGACUAUGACUAAAAAUUAUGAAGAGAAUCUAAUACAUUAAAGUGAAUUAGAUAUUCUAAUCAAAUAUAUCUUAUGACUAAGUUGUUUUGACACAUUUAGUGAUCACUAUGAUUAUUGUUCUAGGAAGUUUUUAGGCACGAUAUAUGUAAACGAUCACAUAAUUAUUGCAAUUAAUUUCCCCAUAUGUGUAGUCAAAUAAAACCCUCAUUAUUUUCCUUAAUUCAUUUAAAAGCAACAGAAAUCAUUGUGUGCCCACUAGAUGCAGGGCCUUAAUUGCCCUGAAGUCAGAAGUGGCAUCUUGUUCAUAAUUUUAUCACCAGUGUCAAAUGCAUUGAUUGAUCAUUAGUAGGUACUUAAAGUUCAUACAAAAAUGAAUAAUAUAUGGAGACUGCAAUAAAGAAUAUUUAAAAUUUCCUUUUCUAG